This 497-nucleotide ribosomal RNA is filed under the name uncultured bacterium. Its description in RNAcentral is "partial 16S ribosomal RNA". It matches the Rfam family "Bacterial small subunit ribosomal RNA", at positions 28 to 507 of the family's 1533-position model. The record is from RNAcentral.
GAUGAACGCUGGCGGCGUGCCUAAUACAUGCAAGUCGAGCGAACGGACGAGAAGCUUGCUUCUCUGAUGUUAGCGGCGGACGGGUGAGUAACACGUGGAUAACCUACCUAUAAGACUGGGAUAACUUCGGGAAACCGGAGCUAAUACCGGAUAAUAUUUUGAACCGCAUGGUUCAAAAGUGAAAGACGGUCUUGCUGUCACUUAUAGAUGGAUCCGCGCUGCAUUAGCUAGUUGGUAAGGUAACGGCUUACCAAGGCAACGAUGCAUAGCCGACCUGGGAGAGGGAUCGGCCACCCUAGAACUGAGACACGGUCCAGACUCCUACGGGAGGCAGCAGUAGGGAAUCUUCCGCAAUGGGCGAAAGCCUGACGGAGCAACGCCGCGUGAGUGAUGAAGGUCUUCGGAUCGUAAAACUCUGUUAUUAGGGAAGAACAUAUGUGUAAGUAACUGUGCACAUCUUGACGGUACCUAAUCAGAAAGCCACGGCUAACUACGUG